RNAcentral lists this ribosomal RNA (307 nucleotides) under Blastocatella fastidiosa. Its description in RNAcentral is "bacterial SSU rRNA". It matches the Rfam family "Bacterial small subunit ribosomal RNA", at positions 314 to 635 of the family's 1533-position model. The record is from RNAcentral. Lineage: Bacteria; Pseudomonadati; Acidobacteriota; Blastocatellia; Blastocatellales; Blastocatellaceae.
CCUACGGGAGGCAGCAGUGGGGCAUUCCUAGCGGGAAGCAGCAGUCGGGAAUUUUGGGCAAUGGGCGAAAGCCUGACCCAGCAACGCCGCGUGAAGGAUGAAGUCUUUCGGGAUGUAAACUUCGUAAGAAUGGGAAGAAUCAAUGACGGUCCCAUUUGUAAGGUCCGGCUAACUACGUGCCAGCAGCCGCGGUAAUACGUAGGGACCAAGCGUUGUUCGGAUUUACUGGGCGUAAAGGGCGCGUAGGCGGCAGAUCAAGUCAGCUGUGAAAUCUCCGAGCUUAACUCGGAACGGUCAGCUGAUACUG